GACAGAGGUGGCAAGCGUUGUUCGGAUUUACUGGGCGUAAAGGGCUCGUAGGCGGCCAACUAAGUCCGACGUGAAAUCCCAAGGCUUAACCUUGGAACUGCGUCGGAUACUAGAUGGCUUGAAUUCGGGAGAGGGAUGCAGAAUUCCAGGUGUAGCGGUGAAAUGCGUAGAUAUCUGGAGGAAUACCGGUGGCGAAGGCGGCAUCCUGGACCGACAUUGACGCUGAUGAGCGAAAGCUAGGGGAGCAAACGGG
This 253-nucleotide ribosomal RNA is filed under the name uncultured bacterium. RNAcentral describes it as "partial 16S ribosomal RNA". It matches the Rfam family "Bacterial small subunit ribosomal RNA", at positions 524 to 776 of the family's 1533-position model. The record is from RNAcentral.